This 5460-nucleotide long non-coding RNA is filed under the name Solanum tuberosum (potato). RNAcentral describes it as "long non-coding RNA (STUB_LNC005095)". Lineage: Eukaryota; Viridiplantae; Streptophyta; Magnoliopsida; Solanales; Solanaceae. The record is from RNAcentral.
GGGUGGUGAAAUUUUCGAUCAAUUGCUAAACACAUCAUUCACUCAAAUCAUUAUGACAUCCGGUCCAAUCAUGCAAUUACACUAUCGAAACUACCUAAUAUGAUUACAAGACACUUUAACGGUUGCCACUACAACAAUUACCACCGGAUGAUCUUGCGUCCAUGGAGGGAAAUGGUUCACUAGCCGCAUUUUGGCUGCACAAAAAAAAAACAGAACAACAAAACAUUAUAAGCAACACCAGUUAAGGGUGCAUUAGAAUUUGGUGAGUCGUGAGGCUUAUGAUCUGAUAACUCUAUUUCCCCUAAUGCAGAACUCAAGUUCAGCCAAGCAAGCUCUGGAGGGUGGAGCUAAUGAGAACUCGAAUCCCAAGAUCAUCCAAGUACUGGGGUACGGGUGAAACACCAAGUUGUGCCUGAAGAGUCUAUUAGGACUACUUCAAUGGACUUCAGGAUGGAAAAUUUGAAUUAUCCAAAGAAUGAGGAACCACAAAAUACUCAUAUUGGACCAGCAGUUGAGUUAUCAAGAAAUGUUGAAUCAUCAAAUGGAACUAAGGAAGCAAGUGAUCCUCCUGGUGACAAACUUGUGUUAGGCUCUCAAUUACCACCACAGCAAGAAGAGGCAGAAAGCGGCGAUUUUGAUUAUUCAGCAAAACUUCAAACUCAGAAUCGACCCUAUUAACUUAACAAUGAUAAUUUACAUCAAAACAUGCUUAACUUAACACACAAACUCAUCAAAAAUAAUUAACAAUGAUAAUUUACAUCAAAACACGCUUAACUUAACACACAAACUCAUCAAUUUCAUAAAUUAAAACAAGAAAAUGUACCUACAUAAAAUAGACAUAUUGGUGUUACUCCCAAGAAAGUUGCAUUUUAAGCAUGAUUCGUUAGUAGUAGUAACAUUAUUUAACAACCAGCUAUUAUGAUAGCGUCAUAAAUAUCCCAUCCAUUCUUAAACCAAAGAUUUCAAGAAAUGUGUUUUUAAGAAAAAUGGAAUUAAAUGCUUAAAUUAUAUCUGAUAUUACUAACAUAUUGGAAACUACUCAAAUUGUGAUUGAUUCAACAUAUGCAUGAAACUAUAUCCAUAAUUAUUUUAGAGAAACACACAAGAACCUUGAGCAUUGUCGAACUCACCAUCAUAAUUCCAUAAACAAUGUAUCAACCCUAUCAGAUUCCAGCUCUUCCUCUAUUUCACGAGGAAUGGAGAGAAAUAGUGAUUGAGGAUAAUAUGUGAUUGUGAUGCCCUGAUGGAUCAGGAGCUCUUCUUGAAACUCUUCUUGAAACAAGAAGAGAAACUUGUCACGGUUAGGAAACGAAAUAGACACCACCCAUUAGCAAUGGAUGGACAUUGCAAUGUUUUCCUACACCAAAGAAUCAGUUGAGUAUGGAAGGCUACACUUAAAAAAUAAACUUUUUUAAAAGUACCUUCAUAUUCGCAAUGUCUAAGCCCACAGUUCUCAUUUUAACAUAGUAACAAAAAAAAACUAGCACAAUAAUUCCCUAGUACAAAUCUGGAAGACACAGUGAAACUUGUUAGGCCAGCCUAAUAAUUCAAUAGGUUUUGGUCAUGGAACAUGGCUAGUUUAGCUACAAGUACCGGGCUGAGUAGUUCUAUCCACCAAGACUUGAACAAACAAGAAGAAGAUAUCACCAAACAGUGUCUUUGGAAGAGUUACAGUAGUAAAUGGCUCAAAAUCCAUUUCCAAAAUGUUUCCACGGGUAAAAUAAAUGAGACACAGAUAUAAGAAUCAAACAAAAAAAAAACUCAUUCACAAAGAAAAAAAUUGUAGAGUACUAUUAUCUUCAAAUUCAUUGACUCAAAACUACCUUUGACAAGCACGAGUCACUGCAAAUGAAACCUAGAAGGCUGACAGGCAUUGUAAAGACAUUUGCGAUAAAAGACAUUGUAAAUGUAAAAGAGGUGACACAAAAGUGUCAAAUAUCAAAAGGGGGUUUUGUAUCAAGUACUAAAACAGCAAAAUAAACAAGAAAAUCAAGUAUGGGGAAAGGUUCUUGGGAUGUGACCGCAAUACAAGUAGAGAUAAAUUGUUGAGUACAUGCUUUCGAUCGGAGAUUUGCAAAAUAAUAGUGACUAGGCUAAGCUUUAAAUGGAAAUAAGUUCCCUUUCGGGAAACUUACCCCGUUUCAAAUGUGUUCCUCUCGGACACCCAUUUGCCGCAUGAAGACCAGCCUACUCCUUACCCACUCACUCUCUCAAGCUGAGUGUUAGGAUAUGGGACUAGGGCUCACCCUCUCAGGCUAAACCUCAUGUUGACCCACUCAUUAGGCCAUCAGUCUAGUGGUUUUGGUUUCGCGACCUCCCUCUCAGAAAAGCCGAAAACACAUGGGUGGCUUUGUAUUUGCAACUACAAACCCUUUAGAUUAAACCACAACCACUAGGUGAAAUCACCAUUAAAAUACAUCUAACCUAUCAGCAAGCAAGACCCAACAAGAAUAUCAACCUAUAUUUGCUAAAUCACACCCCAAGAAUGGGGUUUUUAGCCACACAUCAAGAAAUAAUAAAUUAAACCUUGAAUUAAGCAAAGGAAAGUGAAUAAACAAGACCCACUUCCAACUUGGAGAAGAAGAACUCCUUUCUUCAAGUCUCCACAAAACCCUCUCCAAACUUGAGAGAAAAAUAUUAGCUAGAAUAUGUUCUAAAGUGAAAAAUAAUAACAAUAUGUUCCACUCCUCCAUUCUCUCUUAAGACUACAAUUCUAAAUAGUAUUCAUAAUUUUCACAGAUUGUGCUGCGGAUGAUUGUUCGGCGACAUUAGUCGAGAUCACCGAUGAACUCAGCGAUCCGCCCUUUGGUCAGCUCAUCGCCUUCAGUGUCUUGCCUUUAGCAUCAUCGCAUUGUGGAUCAUUGGGUGGUACAGUAUUGCUUCGCGGAACUGAUCGACGACUUGCCGAUUGCUCCUUUCCUCGCCUUUUGAUCCACUUCCUUCAAGGCUUCGCGUACUGGAACAAAGGGCGGUUCAUGUCGUUUCGACGACUCGCCAAGUUAAACUCGGCGAUCCGCAAGAUUCCAUUUCUUGUCUUUUCAGCCCUAUUUGCUCCGUUUUGCGCCUAAGUGUCCAUGCUUCCACUAAAAUUUCAACAUUUUAAUCAAGUAUUUAGAUAAAAAAGCAUUCAAGGACACGAAGCCCCACGAGGCCGGUUGUCCCCUUCCUGCUCCCCUAGGGCCGGCACUCGAAGCCCCUCAAGGCCAACCCUUCCUAGCCGCCCUUGAGAACGACCCUUACGCCCCCUGAGAACAACCCUGCCACCCCUCGAGGCUGGACCCGCCCUUCAAGGACCAGACUGCCCCUUGAGUCCUGCCACGCCCCUGGAGGCCAAAACCUCCCAUCGAGCCCGCCCCCAAAGGCCGGCACUGCCUCCUAGAGGCCACCCCCUCUCUUGAGGCCGGCCUAACCCAGAGCUCUGCCCCGCCCCUCGAGGCCGAACCUAACCCUCAAGGUUGGCCCUGUCCCCCAGAGGUUGGUACCCUCAUUUGAGGUUGGCCCCAACCCCCUUAGUCGGCCCCUCCCCUAGAGGUCGUCCCCACACACGAGGCCCCGCCCCCAAGGCCUGCUCCGAGGCCCCAGAGGUCGACCCCUCCCUCGAAUCCACCUCAUUCCCUUGAGGCCCCGCCCCCCUCACUCGUGGCAGCCAGAACCCCCAGAGGACAGUCCUUUUUGAUAUAUACUACAAUAAUUGCACUAUCAGCUCAAAUAGCUCAAAUUAGAUUCUGGUAAUGUGAUAAACAGCAGAAAUAUCCAUCAUUUUGCCGAAACGCACUAAGAGCUUUCUUUAUGGAAUUGGAAUCUAUGCUCUAUGUUGUCACCAAUUCUACAAAAUAUAUGAAGUUCUCAUAUAUACAUAAAAGUUAGAGACUUUGCUAGUCCUAGUCCUACUCUUAACCCAAUCAUUCUUUUCAAGGUGGAGGUGGCAGAAAAAAUGCACAAUUUAUGCCCUUUCAUUCUUAUUAGCUACUCGAGAGCAAGAAAAGCGCAUGGACUUAUUAAAAAGUAAAGAAGCACAUACCAUAUCAGCUACUUAGAGAUGACAAGUACUCUGCCCCUUGGUCAAACAACACUAAAAUUACUCAACCGGAACACAAGCCACUCUUAACAGGUAUCAUAAAAUGUUACCAUUAGAAUCAUCCAAACACCUAAGUGAAUCUUACAAGUCCCUCAAUUUAGAAAUUACAAGUUCUAAAAAACAAAGCACUAUUCUCCAAAGUUUUAACCAGAAAAAAAAAUGAUCACCAAUCUCCCAUGUGAAAUAAAUUGGCAUCUGAUAAUGGUUUUUAUUCCAUUUUGUUUUGUGAAUGAGGAACUAUGCAACUGUGUUUCUUAUGCUCUUUCAAUAACCCACAACUAACUGAAAAUCAAAACAGUCCAUUGGGGAAAGAGAAAAAGUGAAAACUUUUGCUUUCAACCCAGAUCACAAAGUGGAUAUAGAACCAAAUUAACAACUAAACAGUACAUUUGUACCCUACCAUUAUCACUGAAUCUGUAAAAUUCUCAAGCUCACAAUGACAAUUUUGCCUUGAAAACUAAAACCCCUAUUGGGGAAAGAGAGCGAAAAAAUUUGCUUUCAACCCCAGAUCACAAAGCAUUAAGGAACUAAAUUUACAACUAAGCAGUACAUAAGCAUACCCUACUCCAUUGUCAGCACUCUUCAAGAUUAACAAGCUCACACAGUCAAAUCAAAAUAGAAUUUCGCAACAUACUUCUUAUGUACUCAUGUCUUAUUCUAAUACUUGUUCAACAAGCUUUUAUAGAAAUUUGAUUAGGCAAUCUGGUGCUAUAAAAGAAUAUGACAAUUAAUAAAUAAGUUACAAAUCAAAUUAGAAGAUGAAAGCAUAUGUUAUUGCACUCCUAACAUGUGGCUCUGUUGUAGUUUUGGUUUUGUAUUGUGGUGACCGAGAGGAAUAAUGUGCUUGUUUCUGCUCCACAUGUUUCAACCCAGAUCAUAAAGCCAUUUAAGAACCAAAUUAACAAUUAACCAGUACACAUACAUCAUUGUCACUCACAAUGUAAAUUUUCCCUUGAAAGUUCAAACUCACAUCGACCCAGAUCACAAAAGGGGUUGGUCGAAUGAUAACCACCUUCCUCUUCCAACCCUAAGAUUGUUGGUUCGAAACUUCGAAUCACCAAGAGAGCAAGGAGGAUGAUGCUAAAAAAAAUCCCAGAUCACAAAGCUAAUAAAGAAACAAGAAAUUAACAAGUAAUCCAAACAUAGCGCAUCAGGAUUUAUAUUCUUACCCAUUGUUAUUGUCAAUUUUACCUGUAGAUUUCUCUUGUCCAUUCUUUCCUACUCUAUUUAUGUUCAUCCGAUUGAAGGGUCCUCCCUUAAUGUGUGAUUUUAGGCCUAUGGGUGUGACAGUUUCUUUGAGAAAAGACUGAAAUUGUAGUGAUGAGAGUGUUGGCUGAUGAAUCUUGUCGAAAUUCGCCAUGAAAGAAAAUAGAGAAUUCAAC